Molecule: ribosomal RNA, 209 nt
Filed under: Pectobacterium actinidiae
Lineage: Bacteria; Pseudomonadati; Pseudomonadota; Gammaproteobacteria; Enterobacterales; Pectobacteriaceae
Description: Pectobacterium carotovorum subsp. actinidiae partial 16S ribosomal RNA
Rfam family: Bacterial small subunit ribosomal RNA
Source: RNAcentral
CUUAAAUUGAAGAGUUUGAUCAUGGCUCAGAUUGAACGCUGGCGGCAGGCCUAACACAUGCAAGUCGAGCGGUAGCACAGGGGAGCUUGCUUUCUGGGUGACGAGCGGCGGACGGGUGAGUAAUGUCUGGGAAACUGCCUGAUGGCGGGGGAUAACUACUGGAAACGGUAGCUAAUACCGCAUAAUGUCUUCGGACCAAAGAGGGGGAC